Long non-coding RNA from Brassica rapa (field mustard), 1141 nucleotides. RefSeq lists it as uncharacterized. The record is from RefSeq and is a predicted model, not a curated record. NCBI's taxonomy places the organism in Eukaryota, Viridiplantae, Streptophyta, Magnoliopsida, Brassicales, Brassicaceae.
UGUCUUCUCGUUUACUCCGUCACAUGCAAAGGAUCGAUAUAGACGAAGGACGAUGACUCUCUCGGUUGAGUCGACGUCUCCUCCGUAUUCUCCGUGAGAAGAAGGAUCGACACCCAGCACCAACGAGGCACCGAGAGCGAAGCUCGUCAGUACGACGACGAACGGUCCGAGUUUGGUGGGUUUGGCUGCGCCACCGGAAAGGUGCAAAGUAUUCAGCAGAUAAAUCACGAAGGGGAGGUGAACCGAGCUCGGUACAUACCUCAGAACCCUUUUGUGAUUGCUACCAAGACGGUUAACGCGGAGGUGUAUGUGUUUGAUUACAGCAAGCAUCCUUCUAAGCCGCCGCUUGAUGAGCUUGUAACCCUGAUUUGAGGCUGAGAGGUCACAGCUCUGAGGGCUAUGGCUUUUCUUGUAGUAAGUUCAAGGCGGGGCAUUUGCUUAGUGGGUCUGAUGACGCUCAGAUCUGUUUGUGGGAUAUUAACGCUACUCCUAAAAAUAAGGUCAUUGAUGCUCAGCAGAUCUUUAAGGGUCAUGAAGGCGUGGUGGAAGAUGUUGCAUGGCAUAUGAGUCACGAACACCUGUUUGGAUCCGUUGGAGAUGAUCAGUACCUCUUAUAUGGGAUCUGCGUUCUCCAUCUGCCAGUAAACCUAUACAGUCUUUGGUUGCUCACUCCAUGGAGGUGCGUUUGCAAGGAACUGAAUUUUAAGAGCAGAGAAGGUUCUCCAAUACCAGGGGUAGAGCCAUACAUACCUUUUAACAUUAACCCAGCAGGGAUGCAGCCUGUUCUUACAACCACUUACCUCUUGGCAUUUUCCAGCAUUAUUGCAAGCAUUGUGGGUUCACCGUUCUUGUUACACGUGAAGGAGAUAUUAAACCCUGAAAGCACAGUUGGGGCACCGCUAUGGGUUUACUACUCAGUCUAUGCGUUUUUGUGUUUCUCUUCAACAUCUUUGACAUUGUGAGUGUUACUCUUUUUUUUUUCUCAGUCUGAGUUUCAAUCUUCUAUGAAAAUUAAACAUGAUUAGUUAUGCAUGUUUGUGUCACAAGAUGGUUUUGGUUUUGUAUGUUUGUGACACGAGAUGGGAUUGUAUAUGCAAGUCACACGAAUUUUAUUCAAGUCACAAGUUGGUUUUGGGUCUUC